RNAcentral lists this transfer RNA (65 nucleotides) under human gut metagenome. It matches the Rfam family "tRNA". Rfam says of the family: Transfer RNA (tRNA) molecules are approximately 80 nucleotides in length. The record is from RNAcentral. RNAcentral also lists the same sequence under 1 other name.
GGGCAUAGUUUAGUGGUAGAACAUCAGCUUCCCAAGCUGAAUAUGGGAGUUCGAUUCUCCUUGCC